AACUAGGGCUCAAAAAUGGGAUUUUUGUAAAUAGAUGGGUUUGAUCUCAAUUGACCCUCUGUAAACCUAAUUGGGGGUAUAACGAACGCGUUGGUGCGCUCGGUUCGACAAUCCGACGAGCGUACGCGAAGUUAUUAACGAAACAGUCUGUUUUGGUACAGAUAACAGCACGCGAGAUAAGCCUCCAAAAAUCAUGAAAGCGGAUCGGGAGCAUCGUGGUGUCGUGGAAUAAACUCCAGAAUAGACG
This 247-nucleotide long non-coding RNA is filed under the name Ananas comosus (pineapple). Its description in RNAcentral is "long non-coding RNA (ACOM_LNC034915)". The record is from RNAcentral. Lineage: Eukaryota; Viridiplantae; Streptophyta; Magnoliopsida; Poales; Bromeliaceae.